RNAcentral lists this transfer RNA (74 nucleotides) under Microbacterium faecale. Its description in RNAcentral is "tRNA-Val". It matches the Rfam family "tRNA". From Rfam's summary of the family: Transfer RNA (tRNA) molecules are approximately 80 nucleotides in length. Lineage: Bacteria; Bacillati; Actinomycetota; Actinomycetes; Micrococcales; Microbacteriaceae. The record is from RNAcentral.
GGGUCUUUAGCUCAGCUGGUAGAGCACCUGGUUUACACCCAGGUUGUCGUCGGUUCGAUCCCGGCAGGACCCAC